This 85-nucleotide non-coding RNA is filed under the name Brevundimonas sp. RNAcentral's name for it is "Glycine sequence". It matches the Rfam family "Glycine riboswitch aptamer", at positions 9 to 86 of the family's 94-position model. Rfam says of the family: This family represents the bacterial glycine riboswitch. Glycine riboswitches usually consist of two metabolite-binding aptamers domains with similar structures in tandem. Lineage: Bacteria; Pseudomonadati; Pseudomonadota; Alphaproteobacteria; Caulobacterales; Caulobacteraceae. The record is from RNAcentral.
CGCUGGAAAGUCGCCCAUUCGGGCGCGCCGACGGAGCAAGGCGACAUGAUUUGGUCGCCGGAAUCUCUCAGGCUUCAGGACAGCG